Molecule: ribosomal RNA, 198 nt
Filed under: uncultured bacterium
Lineage: Bacteria
Description: partial 16S ribosomal RNA
Rfam family: Bacterial small subunit ribosomal RNA
Source: RNAcentral
ACGCUCGACACCUACGGGAAGCAGCAGUGGGGAAUAUUGCACAAUGGGGGAAACCCUGAUGCAGCGACGCCGCGUGGAGGAAGAAGGUCUUCGGAUUGUAAACUCCUGUUGUUGGGGAAAAAGAGGAUGGUACCCAACAAGGAAGUGACGGCUAACUACGUGCAAGCAGCCGCGGUAAUCUGAGCGGGCUGGCAAGGC